Molecule: unclassified non-coding RNA, 1846 nt
Filed under: Leishmania donovani
Lineage: Eukaryota; Euglenozoa; Kinetoplastea; Trypanosomatida; Trypanosomatidae
Description: gene:LdHU3.17.2180(CDS-product:hypothetical_prote in_conserved)
Source: RNAcentral
GUCCAACACGUAUCCGUCGGAAGAACGCGCACGCGGCCCCUAUCGCUGCCCGCGCCUCUUCUCCGCCUGUUUUUGCCCUUGUUAUAAUGGAGUUUUUUCAAGUUGUCGACCCUGUGACGCUGGCGCCGGCGUCUUACGCGUACGUGGCGCUGCAGCUGGCAUUGGCCGUCGCCUGCGCCGUGCUGCUCGGUGUGUGCUUGCACGUUUUGCCUGAAAGACUGGUGCGCUGCUCCAAGACCGCCCGUCCUAAGGUGCCUCGCGAGGCCCUAGCAAAGGCGGUCACACCUGCCUCCAAGCUUUCCGUGGCUAAUAAGCCUUCAUCCUCGGCCGCAGCCUCGGCCACUCCCUCCUUUUCUGCCGCGGCGCCGGUGGGCACAGCACCCAAGGCGCAGGCGAAGGCGACCGCUCCAGCGGCUUCGGCUGCUGUGGCAGACAGCACGCUGGACGACGCCCUAGAAGCGUUUUUCGACGAGGAGAUUCUUCUCGACGAGGCCUUACUCGACGCCACAGCGCCAUCUGCCCUACCAGAGGAGGAGACGGCCCCAACGAAUCGGACGCCCGGGAAGCCGACCCGACCGCCUCCCAAGAAGACCGGAGACUUCUCCACAGCUCUGGCGGCCAAGAUGGCCAAGGGACUGCGAAUCAAGGCGUGCCCUGCCAGCACUGCUUCUUUGCCUCAAGCACAAUCAAAGCCACCCGAGAGAAACGACACGGCCGAGAAGGAGCUCGAGGACGCUCUGGACGCAUAUAUGGAAGAGGAGCAGCUGCUGGAUGAGGCGAUGCUGGACAGCGCGGUAGACGCGGCACACAGAACAUAAUCCUGCAACGCAUGCAUGGGCGAGGGCAGGGCAAGCGAAGCACACAGGGCAACAAGCGGUGGCGUCUGCCGUGCAUCCGUCUCCGCACGUAAGGUACAGCGAGGAAGUCUAUUAUUAUGUGACAUACGUGUAGAACCCACUAGUGCGUGAACACACGAGUGCGUGUGCGUAUGCACACGUAUACCUACACCCGCACACACGGUUCGCCGCGCCGCUCUGCAACGCGUCUGCGGAGUGCGUCUCGUGACCCGAACGCAUGCUCUUGUACGUACCGAAAUCGGGGGCACCCCGCACGCCUGCUUUCUUUUGUCUCUGCUUCCACUCAGAUGCACCAAACGUGAGGCUAAAGCGGCAUUGGACAGGAUGCGUGCAGUGAUGAAGGAUGUCGGGUGUACAUGCACGCAUGCGUUUGCUGCUGGGCAGAUUCGAAUAGGCCACGCAGGGCAUGCCGUUAUCGGUGAGUACCGGUUCACAGCGGUGGGCCUGUCUGCUCAGCGGCGACGGGGGCAAAUGUGGACUCGCUCUGAUGACUCAAGCGGCCAGCCUUCUAUGCCCCUUCGUCGGCGGACUGGUUUGUGUCGGUGUGUGAGCUCAGUUGUAGAGCGUGAUAUCAGGAGUGGCUGCAGUUACAAUACGCCUCGUGAGGCAUUUUAGGCUUGAACAGCUGCUCGCUUUCUUUCGCCUGGAGCAGCGUGUGCGUGUGUGCUAUGCUCUCACUAGUGGACAAACGCGACACGCCUUGCACGAGCAGCGAAGUUGCUGGCUGACUUCCUUUGCGUCUUUCAUGUCCUCUGGCCUUCUCGUGUGUUGACUCCAAAAGCCGGUGGGGUAUGCAAGCUGUACUGGACAAGUUGAUAUUCACUUUCUGCUUCCUUGUGCGCAAAAUGUAAACGGAAGUGGCCUCUCUGCCUGUGUGCAGGGCGCGUGCGCGAGAUCUCGUCCCUUUUGCCAUAACACCGUCUCGGCACGCCACGAAACUGAGCUCUCAACGCGCCUGUGUGCUUCUCUGCACAGGCCGACCACCGCUU